This is a long non-coding RNA of Mastomys coucha (southern multimammate mouse), 713 nucleotides long. RefSeq lists it as uncharacterized. The record is from RefSeq and is a predicted model, not a curated record. Lineage: Eukaryota; Metazoa; Chordata; Mammalia; Rodentia; Muridae. The transcript is spliced from 4 exons.
UGUGGAUCUGUUUCAUUCAACAAAAUGGAAGGGUCCCCUGAGACAUGGGCAAUGACAUAUACUGGGCUGGGCACCCCUCUUUAGGGAGACUCCUGACCAUCCUCCAGCCAGGCCCCUUCCCCAAGGACAAGGACUCCAGGACAGCUCCAAACAGGCCAUGAGAGUGAGAAAUGUAUAUACACAGAGCCUGGGAUCUAUGCCACAUCAACCCUGGUUUCUAGGACCUGUGCUGGCAUCUUCUCUAGGAUUUCCAACUGAACCUGGAGUUAAUAGAUUCGCCAAGACUAACUGGCCAACCAGCUCCGGUCCCCACUGUUUCUCCAGAGCUAGGUUUACAGAUAGAUGCCAUCCAGCCUGGUCUUUUCAUGGGUACUGGAAAUUUGAACUCAGCCCCUGCUCCCGUGCUUGUACAUCAAACAUUUUAUUGUCAGCCAUCUAUCCCUUCAGUCUGGAGCCUGAACGCCUUCUGUGGAAUCUGGACCUCUAGGGAGUUACGAAGGCUCACUUGUCAAGUGUUCUCUGAGGAGAUUCAGACUGAAGAGAGAAAUAGAAAGGAAAACCUGUAUCAGCAAGUACCAGAGGAAAUGACCAAGACCAUACAGAAAGGGAAUUUUGUGGCUAUGUGCUGAACCACAUGAAGCACAAGAAAAGUUUAUGUAAGAAGUUGCCUCAGUCAAAAGAUGUCUCCACGAUGGACAACACACCAGGUGGCU